This 460-nucleotide ribosomal RNA is filed under the name uncultured bacterium. Its description in RNAcentral is "partial 16S ribosomal RNA". It matches the Rfam family "Bacterial small subunit ribosomal RNA", at positions 338 to 795 of the family's 1533-position model. The record is from RNAcentral.
CCUACGGGUGGCAGCAGUGAGGAAUAUUGGUCAAUGGACGAGAGUCUGAACCAGCCAAGUAGCGUGAAGGAUGACUGCCCUAUGGGUUGUAAACUUCUUUUAUAAAGGAAUAAAACGAGGCACGUGUGCCUUUUUGCAUGCACUUUAUGAAUAAGGAUCGGCUAACUCCGUGCCAGCAGCCGCGGUAAUACGGAGGAUCCGAGCGUUAUCCGGAUUUAUUGGGGUUAAAGGGAGCGUAGAUGGGUUGUUAAGUCAGUUGUGAAAGUUUGCGGCUCAACCGUAAAAGUGCAAUUGAAACUGGCAGUCUUGAGUACAGGUGAGGUAGGCGGAAUUCGUGGUGUAGCGGUGAAAUGCUUAGAUAUCACGAAGAACCCCGAUUGCGAAGGCAGCUUACUAGACUGUGACUGACAUUGAUGCUCGAAAGUGUGGGUAUCGAACAGGAUUAGAUACCCCUGUAGUC